ACAGAGUUUUCUUCGUCUUCACGCUUGAAUGUCUUUUCAGACAUUUUUUCCUUCUCUGUACAGGUAGCCACUGCUCAUCAGGCUAAUGAAGUGGCUGGUGGGCUGUUGGGUGAAGCGAGUUCCGCAUCGAUCGUUUAUAAAAUGACCCCAGAUUUUACAAAUCGUGACAUUCUGAUUGUGUUGGAAACGUGUUUAAAAUGCAGUGGUGUGCAGCGGCAGCGUUAAUGGCAAUUCUUAAACCCACUUGCGGGUUGCAAUCUGUAUCUUCAGAUUAGCCAGGAGAAAGAGAAAUGGCAGAUAAAAUAUCCGUUGUGGUUUACUGUAGUUAGGCCAUGCCUGGAAUAACCAGCGUAGGCAAGGGAAAGGAAAGGAUUGAGAUUCGCUCCCUGCUGCUGGGAGGCGAGGUGAAUUUCCUUGCAAGCAAGUUGAGAAUGAUUGUUGACGUAAUUCUGGCACGUGUGUGUUACUGGUGUGUUACUGGUGCAUUACUGGUGUGUGUAACCCUGCACGCGUGGCCCUGGGCCAGCACCAGUUGGUGAGUGGGAAUGCACAGAUUUAAUAGUAAGGGGUAUUUUCAACCCUGCUCACCACUGAACAGUUUUAUUGAUACCUUGGGAAGGCUUGGAAAACCUACUCAAAAUAAAACUUAAUGCCUGGCCGACAGAGCACAUAACUUUUAUAACAUUGAAAAUGUCAUCAAGCGAACCACUUUGUUGCCUCUGCUGGUGUCUUUUUUAAUGUCCGACUAUUCUGGAUGCUCUGUAAGGAAAAGAAGACUCCAGGCUGUUGGAUUUCAUGGCUGCCUGUCUAGCUGUGUUUAAUGGCAGGCUACAAAACCUGCGAGUAUGUGAUCGCAGGAGUGGUUAAUUGUUGGAGCACUGUGGGUAGAACGUUGUCUGGCGAGGGUUCUCCUGGCUUGGCCACCAAGUUGUGAUCGUGGGCACGGAGGGAAUGAGCACUUAGACGGCAAGUAGCUCCGGGCCAGCAAAGAGAGGGUGGUGUUAUUUUGUUACCCUUGCGAAACGCAGAUAACAUCUGGAGUUCAGCAUUAGCUAUUGAUCGGUGGGGUUGGAGGGAGCCUGGCAGGGCGAUGAUGAUGAUGAUGCCGAUGUCCUUCUCACCCGACGGGGGACGGCAGCCCCAGGACACACGGACGUGCUGCCCGGCAAGCGGGACGGACGGCUCGUCCUUGCGCUGUUCCCUUCCUGGGCCGUCCGGACCCCGGUGGUGGGAUUUGCAGGUUUGUUGUAUCCACUACAACCCAGAAAAAACGCCAUGUGCUGCAGGCUGCUCUGUGUUGUGUGGGAAGGAAAAUGAGUGUGUUUGGCAGCUCCCCUUUCCUUCCGCAGCUGUGGAGCAGGAGGGUGAGGCGAGCGAGGGAGGGCUGCAGGUGGUCACCGCAGUGGGACGCUCCGGUCCGGCCUCAUGCGCUCCCCACGCGUCUCGUUCCGCGGCUGCUCCAGCUCCAGCUCCUCUUGAUGUGUUGUCCCAGUCCCGCGGCUGCUCCAGCUCCUCUUGACGUGUUGUCCCAGUCCCACGGCUGCUCCGGCUCCAGCUCCUCUCGACGUGUUGUCCCAGUCCCACGGCUGCUCCGGCUCCAGCUCCUCUUGACGUGUUGUCCCAGUCCCACGGCUGCUCCGGCUCCAGCUCCUCUCGAUGUGUUGUCUCAGUCCUGUGGCUACUCCAGCUCCUCUCCCUGUGCGUCUCAGUCCCGGGGCUGCUCGGGCUCCAGCUCCUCUCGAUGUGUUGUUUCAGUCCUGUGUUUGCUCUGGCUCCAGCUCCUCUCCAUGUGAUGUUUCAGUCCUGCGGCUGCUCCAGCUCCUCUCCCCGCACGUCUCAUUCCGCGGCUGCUCCGGCUCCAGCUCCUCUCCCCGCACAUCUCAGUCCCGCAGCUUCAACUUGCAAAAAGACAAAUAGAGAUUCUGAGUGAUCGAAUCCCCCAAGCUGUAACUGCCGGUAUUGAAUGUAAUACUGUGUGUUUUUCAAAGCCAUACAGCCCCAGAGUUAUUUCCGUAUCAAUUAACUCUCUCAGAUGGUUGGGAAUGGCAGGGAAGUGACAGCAUGUGAUCAGGACUGCUUUAAUCUUUAAACAAAAUUAAAGGUAGGCAGUCUGUGUGAUACAAACAAUAUCCCAUGUGCUGGGGGCUCAGACAUCUCCACAAGACAAGCAUUGAAGCGGCAGCGUGGUUGGUGUUUCCGUGCCCGCGAGGACGGGAGGGCCGGGCUGUACCGGCCCAGGGGCGCAGGGGUGCGGGGUUUGGUCCAGAACUGCAGAAUCCACACUGAAAGCUUCGUGCCUGUGCAUCUCGUGCCACCGAGACACAGUGCAGGCUCUGUCCUGUUUGCAUCUUCGGUGCAUGAAAUUGUCCAGGUGAAGCAGUGGGCAUAAUGGGUGUAUUUGUUGGGAGAGGCGGGGGUGUUGUUAGUGAGCUGUCGCUGGGCCUGGGCGGAGGAUGCUGCUGUUCUUAGGAGAGAAAUAGCCCUUUGUGUUCUGUCCGGCUGCCAAAGCCUCAGUUUUGUAGAUGACCCUCUGAAGUUAUAAUUGACAUUUUUAUAGAUGAGACAUAAAUAUAAUUAAGAGUCGCUGUAAUUAUUUGUUUAUUGCCAUCUCCCUCAAGUAAUACAAGGUCAUGUGCAUUUAAAAAUGCAUCCCCAGGCAGUUUUGAGCGAAGAGUACUUAAAAUAUAUGGAAAUAAUUGCCUAAUUUGGUCAUUUUCAGCAGAGCUUUCCUUGGCAGCAGUCUGGCGAUAGUCGCCUGUGCUUUAAGGAGGAACCUUUCGCCUUCUCAUGUAGUUUUGCUUUUAGAAGGAUGGAGCUAAAGCGAGAGCUGCUGUUCAGCCAGGUUUGACCUGCGGGAUUUUGGCGCUGGUGUUUUUUUAAGAGCAUAAAGUGCUUUAAGGGCUUUGGCUGAAAAGCGUGACAUAAGAUAUAAAUAGAGGCAAUAGUAUUGUUAUUGCUUCCCUAGAUGAGAUGAGCUUUUAUUCCCCUGUCAGUGGUAGCAGUUCAUAAACGGGGCUGCAGAGAGUGCGGUUGUUUGGAGGGGAGCGCUGGCUGGGGUGAAAUCCAUCCCAGGACACCAGGAGAGCGACUGUAACCUGCAUGUGCAGAGACGGGGGUGUUUAUCUCCUGCCACGGGCUCGGCGGGAGCAGUAGCUGCAGACGGGUUUUUUAGAGUGCCUUUUAAGCAAAUAUUUGCUUGCAAACUUCACAUGAGGGCUGCAAAGAUUCAUUAGUUAAUGUUAUUUACCAUUUACAGACCUAUCAGUGAAAGGGGUGAUGGCUGAGCGGUAACGCCAUCAGUCAUACCUAUCUGUUUAGAUUGCAGCUAUGACAUGUGCCAUAUUAAUAUUUUAUAUGUGUAUGUUUUUCAUAUUACAUCCUCAGUUAUAAAUAUUCAUGUCGUACAACGCGUUGGCGGCUGCAGAGCAAUAUCCACAUCUCCCCGUCCCGGCGGGACCGCGGAGCAGCGGGGACGGGCUCGUGUUCGCCCCGGGGCUGCGGCCGCAUCCCCCGCUUUCCCCUUCGGCACCGAUUCCUCCCCCUCGGCCCCUGUGCCGUGCGCUGGGGACCGCCAGGGUGUCCCCAGGGCCGGGGUGACAGCCGCCGCCGCGCUGCUGGGGCUCAGUGCUGCUCCAACACACAGACCAAAAGGACAAGCUGCCAAUUCUUGGAUCCGUCUCCCUCAUCUUUUAAUUUCCUGGCCAGCGCCUAUUGCUGCUGCGUCAGGGCACCUUGUGUGAAGUGUGAAAGUGACGGCGUUGGGGCUGGGCUGGGCCCCGCGUCCCGGUGGGCUCUGCCUCAGAGUGCGGAUCAGGCUCCCGGCCACGCUGUUCGAGGAGAUUAUUGCACGUCUCGGGUGGUUACCGUCACUCUGCCCCCAGCCUCGCGCUGGAGAACGCCACCUGAGGCUUGGAAUAAUUGCCCAGCUACGUACUGUCUGUCAUACCUUAUUGCUUAAUUUUAUACCAGUAAUGAAAAUUGCAUCCAGAGGAGGAGGAGGAGUGAACAGCUGCCCUGGCCGGGCCGCACCGGAGGAGUAGGUGUGUGCAAAUGCUUCCUCGGAAGAAGAGGAGCGACUCGGCUCGCCGGCAGCGCUUGGGAGAUGGCUCGGCAUUUUUAUUUUCUCAUUUAACAAAGGCAAUAAUAAUAAGAAGAAAAAAGUCCCACCGACCUCCAGUGAAGGCUGCAAACACAGCCCAGCAAUUAGUUUGGAAGUCUUCAGUUCCGCAGUCAGACUUUAAGAAAGUCGGGAUGUGAGCUCUGCCAGGAGCAGUGUUGGACACACACGGUGAUCUGCCCAGCUGGAGCUGCCUGGAGGAGACAGCGGGGUCAUUGGAUCCAAAUGCAGUUCAGCAUCCUCAUUGUCACUGUGAGCAACCGGCUUGAGUGACAGACAAAUUAGCAAAAAUCCUGAUGAUCUGUGAAUGGCAAGAAACCCUAAACGCCGUGAAUAAGAUCUUGUUUGUGAUUCUGCUCAGCCCAUGAAACCCACCCCCUUUUCCUUCCCAGAAUGCAGGAGCAAAGCGAUCAGCGGGUAUUGCUUCCAGUCUUGUGGGACUGUUUGAAAAUGUUAAUUGAGGAAAGGCCAGAAACAGGAGGAGAACAAAAUGCAACAUUUACAUAGAUGGGCAGUCUUAUUACAGCCAGCAGAAUUAAAAUCUGCAUGGUGACCUUGAGAGAACAGCAGCUCCUCGCAGCACGGCCGUGCCCGAAAAUGGGAGAUGGCAACGCUGAGACGCUGCGCAGCGUUCGCUCCCCGGCGUGCGCUUUUCUUCUCCCGGCAGAUCACUGAAGGCAGACGGCGAGUCCUCUCAAACACGCCUUGUGGGGGGAAGGAGCUUUUGUUUUUUGUAGAGCUGUGCUUUCCAUCUGCUGGGUUUGCUAGUGCCGGUGAGGAGGCUGUUCCCGGCAGAGGGGCUGCUUUGCCCCCUGCCCGGUGCGGUGCAUCUCUCCAUCAGCCACCUCCUCACUCCCGCCCGGGGCGCGGGGGCUGCUGAAGCCUUUGAUUCUACAAGGUCAUUGCCAUAUGUAAAACCUCCUGGUGAUCUGUUGAAACAAACAUAACGUGUCCCGUAUCCCCAAAAUCUUGAGAUUCAGCAGAAACACGGGUCUCACAAAUAAUGCUGGUAGCGAAGGCUUUUCCCCCCGCGGGUCCUGCUCGAGCGGCUCCGCUGCACCGUGUCCUCGCCAUCCCCGCUGCCCUUCUGGCUUUCUGGACACUGGUUUUUACGUGUUGUUAAUUCGGGGGGCUCUGGUCCAGGCUGUGGGCUGUAUCUGUGCAGGUACAUGGAUGGGUACGUGGCUCUGGGGUGCUGGAGCCCAGGGCUGAGCCGGCCCCGCGCCGGGGAGUAGAAAUCGCUCCCGGGGCCACUUGUGCGAGCAAAGAGCUUGGGGUGACUGUGCUGUGGAAGGAGGGCUUGGCAAUGGGGUGAGCAAAUGGAAACAUUGCUGCCCCGCAAUUAACAGUUUACAGCUCUUGCGUGGAUACAUUCCACCUAAUCAAUCCACUUGUAUUAGCAAAUUAGCAGCUGUUAAUAUUACUGGCCUUAGAUCCGUAUGGCGUGUGCUGCGGCACCGCAGUGUGUGCAGGGAGGAGCAGACCCCUCUGAGAACCGCGACUCCUGCUCCGUGUCGUGCUCCUCGUGUCGCGCGGGGCUCGCGGGCUCCACCGCUUCUCAUCGGUGCCUCUCGCCCCUACUCAGCGCUUUUCCCAAAAUGUUAAGUUUCAACUGAGGAUUUCUUUAAUUAGGUUGAUUAAUAUGUACUGGCAAGGAGUGAUUUUGCUUAUCCUGUAUUCCUGUAUGUUUUUUGUAUAUAUAAGCUGAAAUAAGAACAUCUGGCACUUUUUUUUUUGCUGGAUUCGAUAGAAUAAGUUGAGAAACAGCUUCUUUCAGAAAACUGCAAGUCAGCAGAUUUGGGUUGUGUUUUUUUUUUCUUUUUAUUUUAUCGAGUGUUUUCUAGACCAGAAAGAGCACCUUAAACUGGUGUAAUAAUUCACAGAUUGUUCUCCAUUGUAAAACACCUAUGGAUGCGAACACCGUCCCCACUGUCCGCUUUGGCAGGGGAGCAGAGCGGGCGGACCCGGCCCCACUGGCCCCGCGCAGCCCCUCCUGGGCUCCCAGGGCUCUUUGUGGGCGCCGUCUGUCCGCGUUGACUCCGAGCGGCACCGUCGCUGGCCCCGCGCGAGUCAUUUGGGAGCUGGGUGGUUGGCGUCAGUCGCAGUGAUGGAAACCGGCCAUCCAUGGUGCGGGUCAUGCGUGGGCAUUCAACACGUGUUCAACAGCACACGCAGAGUUGGGGCAGGGUCUGUAGGGACAGGCCUGGCAAGAGGAUGCUGUAAGUGACAGAUAUUCCCCCGUAGGCCCAUGGGAGGUUUGGAUGAGCCGCAGUCACUCAAGUGUAUUGUGGCCGGUUUGGCUUUUGCUGAUUUCUCUGCUUGUGCAGCCCGUUUCCCUCCAGUCGGGUCUGCGUUCUGGAUGCCAGAGCUCUGCUCUCGGUUUGUGUCCCUCCUGCGGGCACAGAGAACUGAAAACAGUGGGUUUUUCUCCAGACCCUGGAAGUUCCUGCAAUUGCAGGAAAACAACAAACAAAAUCAGAUGACAAAAGCGUGGGGUGGGUUUUCUUGCAGACGGGCAGCGCGUCGCCCCUGCCCGGUUUGGCUGAGCUCCGCUUGUCCCUGGCAGGGCCGGAGCACAAAGCGCCGGUUCCGGACCCGGCUGCGGUUCGGGGGGUUCGGGCGGCACGUGGGGCUGGGGGCUGCGCAGCCGCCGGGGGGGGAGCAGCUGCCGCGGGAGGACGGGAGCAGCUGCCCGAGCGGAAUGAGUCAUUCUGGGAAGAAAUGGGUUUGAUAAAUAAUAAAACAGUGGUAUUAACAACAGAUGCUUUCCAGGUCAGAUGACUUUGAUGAAAGCACCCAACAGCCACGGGUAAUGGUAUGAAGAAUAUGUAUCUAUAUUUCUAGAUCUAUCUGUAUGAAGAGGCAUAUAAACAAGUGGGUGUUUGUGUAUGGAUGUGUGUGUGUACAUGCUCACGUAUGAAUGUACCUGGCGUUUUAUUUCUGUUUUAAGGUGACAGUAGAGAGUGUCGCUGCUCCUGUUCUUUGCAGGCUUUGCAGCUUGCCUAGAAAACCUGAAAUGUGCUCAAUAUCUCCCAAAUCCGGCGCCUUCCCUCCUGCCUCCCCCCGCGCUGCCUCCCUUUGUUUCUAUAUCCAUCCUGUUUCAUUUCUAUAACUGUUUUGAUUUGUAAAAUGCUACGCCUUAUACAUCGGUUCCUUUAUGAUGAUUUAGUAUGCUCCUCUUAUCUUUCACCUUCCAUCUUUGAUAAGAGUGUUUUACAAAUGAAUUGGUACCUGACACGGUGAUCGGCCGCGGCUGCGGGAGGAGGAGGAUGGGGGACCUGCGGAGCCUUCCCAGCUCGCUGCUGCUUCCCUCUCUUUCCUCACCACUAAAUUGCUAAUUAGUCAAGUUUCCCAUCAUCGCCGUGCGCUGGGGGACGUGGGGGGAGGCAGGAGGGUGACUGGGAGCUGGGGUGGGUUUGUUUUACCCUUGAAGCCAUAAAAACGACCCUUGGGACGUGGGGUUUCUCCAGGCUGACCCAACGUUGCCUGCAAGUUUCAUAUCCAAGUAGUUAAAAUGUUUUUGGUGAAGUGUUGGUUGUGCUUGCGGAACAUGAUUCACCGGGGGAAGGCGCCGGCAGUGCGACUAUCAGUAAAUACAACGGUCUGGCAUGGCAGGUCAUUUUUAUUUUAAUAUAGUAGAUUUAAUGAACUCUUGUCUUUAUUAUUCAUGGUACUUGCGGAAUGCAUCCAUUUCCCCUCCCUAAUGACGUUGGUUACAGAUCCAUCCUUCGUUAGAGGCUUUAUUACGGCUGGCGAACUUAACUCUCUCCAAUACGUUCCCAAAGCGCAAAGGGUUAUCUAAUAAAUUUUUGUAUUUAACAUUCAAUACCAUUAGUACUAAAUGUGGCCAGAAAUUCCCCGAGUAGUUUAUGCGUUGUUAAUUACUGUUAUUAUUGGAUCUGGUGGAAUGUUGUUUGCCAGGCCCCGCGGUGUGCGUGUGUUUUAUGGGGGACGGUGGCGGCUGGUGCCGCCGUGGCACUCGCCCGUGGUUUGUGUGCAGGUCCAGACCCCAAAGCUGCUGUCAAGUGAUUUAAUAGCGUUUGUGUCCAGCCUAACCCAAUCUAUCUCACCAAAAAAUAAUCCUGCAUCAAAAUUACUGCUUUUGGAACUGUCUUGUCUCUUUUGAGUGGGAACUGGAGACAACUAGACAAGCUUGAAUGAAAGCGAAUAAAGAAACAUUACUUUCUGAACACAAUCUUCUGUUAGCAGUCACUUUUCAACAGCCAUUCAAUCAAAAUGCUAAUAGCAGAGGCAACAAGGGAGCGGGGUUAUUGUAACACUAAUUGAUAGGCUGCGGGGAUGGGUUUUGAUAAGUGCUGUUGAAGAUAUAUUUUUGAAAUAUGAUUCUCUUUAAUUACAGUGAUACUAAUAAAAAUGAACAAAUGAUUUAAUGAUAGUUUUCUAGGUAAUGGCUUGAAGAUUUUUCUUCAAGUUAUUUUGUAGCGUUUUUUUGUUUAAACCAGAAAUUAUGAAAAUCACCUUAAAAAUGAAGCUGUAGUGGAAGGUGGUGACUUUAUCUGGACUUGCGUGGCUACUUUGCAUCAAAAUUAAUACUGUCAAAUCUGGAGCUCUUGAAUAACAAAUCCAGUCGUUUAUUUGUACAAUAGACUGUGCUGAAAGCUCCUUGUUGAAGCCACGUUGCAUGUGGGAAUGCAUUCAAUAUCUAAUGCAUACAGCAAUUAGGAUCAAUUAUGCCAGCGAGGGUUUGACGGUACGCGUGGGGGGGCGCAGAAUGGGCUGAGGGGUGUUCACUGAGGUUCUAACGUGCAGCGGGGUGCCGGGUUUGGUGAUAUUAGUGGGGAUUAUUGACGUUCAGUGACAGGAAGCUCCGAACUCAGACCCGCGUCCGCGGUCACAGGCAGCCUCUGUUUCACCUAAUUUUUGCUGAAUUAAUCGAUAGCGAAACAAAGGCUUUUCUCCUUGGGGGAGGAUGUUUUUCCUGUUGUUGCUGUUUGUGGGGCAGGGAGCGAUGCUCCCUCCUGCCUUUCAAUUUGUCAAGCGCUCUCUCAAAGAUCUGCCAGAGAAGAAAGGGUAAUUAAUAGGCUUGAAGUCAUUUCCGAUGUGUCAGUAUUUCUGCCUCGCUUCCAAGUGAUAAUGUUCGCUGGCUCGAGGCCUCCGGGGAGCCUUCCAUCUUAUUAACUUGUCUGGGAGGAACAGUGAGUGGGGACAGCUCGGGCCAGUGGGUGACAUGAAAUGAGGAUUUGUGGUGUAGUGAGCUGUAAACACGGGGGCUGAUGGAGUAAAUGUGGAGAGAUUAAAAAACAAAGGAAAGAAAAUAUAUGAAAAAGGCCACUGGUCACAAGCAGAGCAGCAUGCACCGUGGAGGGGGACACAGUGUAUAUAGGGCAGCCCGAACCUGACCCGUAGAGCUGGACCUGCUGUGGUGCAAGGUCACGCCCGGUCCCCUGUGUCACGCCAGCCCCGGUGUCACCCGUGGUCCCCUGUGUCACCCCGGCCCUGGAGCAGCUGCUGGCCAAGGGCUUCCAGAAGUCAAGUGUGAUUUAUUUUGUUUUAGGAUGCUCAAUUUGAGGCACUGCAAAGGGACACGGGGCCGGGUCCUUGUCCUCAUCGCUUCGGUCUGUUUGCCAAGCGGGUUGGCAGUUUUCAUAGCUUUUCUUAACUGCGUUUGAAAACUUAAGUGUUAACCUUAGGGCACUUAAGUGCGAAGACACCUUGAUUCUGAGAAGAACCGCAAGGAUUAAGCAGUUUUAGGUCCAGUUCUAGAUCCCGUAGAGAGCCUGCGAGGCCGGGACGCGCCCCUGCGCUGCGUUGUGCAGGGGAGCAGAGCGCCUCUUGUUCCAGGGGUCUCAAACACUUCGGAGCCUGAGCUCUGCAUUCCGAAUUUCCAGCCUCCUUGGUGUGUGUCCGUGUAUUCUCUGUCAUCCUUCCACAGGCUCGGUCAGCAGAAGCUGCAUUAGAGAUCUGUGCGAGUGUAGUUGGCAAAAUAAUUGUUGGUUUUGCCCUAACUCGCUGUUGUUAUAUAGCUUCGGGGUCUUGCUUUGGAAGGGGAUGCGCAGGAAAGGUUUCUAGUCGCUGUGUUUGGUAGCUACACCUGUAAUCAUAGGACAGUGUCAAUGCAGGAUUUGGUGUAAUUGCUUCUCCCCCCCCCAAGUUCUAGUGAGGUUUUGUUAACUAGAAUUAGAGCACUUAAAACCAGGUAUUAUUUUUAACCUGUGUUCUGGUUACCCCAUACGGUGCAGAAGGGAGGCCGGGCGGGAUCUCGGUUUCCCGGGCGCAGUGAGCAGAUGCUGUGCCCGUGGAGCGGGUCAGACCUGCGCGGUUCACCCGGCGCCGCGGGCUCUGCCGGGCCGGGCCGGAGCCGCUGGCGGGUGGCUUUGCUCCGAUGUGCUGAGCUGCCCUUGGCCCUCAUGGCAAGCUGCGGGUGCCCUGGGCAGGAGGACGAGGGGCUGCGCCCGCGGGAUCAGACUCGGGGUGAGACGCGGGGCCGUUGCGGAGCGGUGUCCGUGGGCCCGGCCGGGCCGCGCGGCCGCCGAGCCCUGACCGCCUGGCGGAUGUGGGCUUACGUAAGGCUGGUGCUACAUCCACAUAUUUAACCUUCUGCGCUUUGCUUGUUUUGUUUUUAAAUUCUCCUUCGCCCAAAAGCGCACGAGCGGUUUCAUUCGCUGUUGAUCAGCACGGCGGCAGCGCCGGUCUGCACCGCGUACGGCCUGUUCUGGGAGACUGUUCCGUUUUGAUUUUUUAAAGGAGCAAAGCUUGGCGUUUUGGGUCACUGGGAAGGAACAGGACGUCUUUCACGUAUUGACAGGUUUUUUUCUUCUAUUUCUUUUCUGAUCUCACUCCUGUUUGUCAGGCUCACUUUUCAUUUUCCAGAUAAAUGAUUAUGACUAAACAUCUCUGACAAGCCCUUCGCAAAGUGCGAGAAGGCUACAAUGUGGAAAAAAAAGGAGCCACCUCAAAGCUCUUCAGUGAUUAAGCUCCUUAAGUGGCAAGUUGUUCCUCUUGUGCUGCGAGGUGCGUUUCCCCCCGCAAGCCCUUGUUAGGGAGGCACUAGUAUAAUCUAAUUAAAAUUGGUUUUAAUGUUCUGUGAAAAUGAAAACAGAAUCCUUCCUGUUGGGAAGAAUGACUGUGCACGUAUGAGUCUCUGGGUUUUGUUGUUGUUGUUAUCUUAUUCAAAUAUUAACACUGCCUGUGUGCUCCAAAUGAGAGUUUGUGUCCAUCAACAGAGCUUGAUCCUCAAAUUAAGUGAUUAGUGAUAUAUAGGAAUAGGGGGAAGCUGGUCGCUGGACAUUCUUUUUAAAUGCUAACGUUAUUUCCAGGAGGUAAAUAAGGGCAGGAGAUACUGUGCAAUAUCAUCACUGUGAAAUUAAAAUAAAGUCUCGCUAUUUGAGGAUGGAACUUAGCGGCUGAAGGUUUACUCUUCAUCUGAAGCUUCACGCUGAAUUCUUCCAGCUAAUUGCCUGCUGAUUAGUUGAGAGACAGGCAUUGCUAAUGGUGGCUGUGAGCGGCAAAUCAUCCCCUGCAAAGUCCUGGGCUCCAGCGUGGGCAGGGGGUGCUGGGCAGGGGGUGCUGGGCAAGUGAACCAGGGGACGGGGUUCAGGUUCUUGACCUGAGAGUCUUGGUUUUUCCAGUUGCCGACCAGGGCAGAUGUGUCUGGUACGUGUGGCAAUGGAGCGGUGACCUCCAGAGAACAGGGAGCAGCAGCUUCCCUGCGUUCUCUGCUCGGGUUUAGCCAGGGGAAGGUUUUUUGGGGAGGAAAGAAAUACAGAACGUAAAGCUGCAGUUUACUAGGUUGGAAUAAGCACUUUUUUGGUGCGUGGUGAUUUAUUUUGUUAAAAACCAGGGCAUUAUUCAUAAUUGCGUGGCUUUAUGAGAGUAUCCGUAGCAGUGUUCUUCCGCUGGUCGGCUGUGGGAGCUGGAAUAGUAUUUGAAUAGGAGCCGUGGGGAUGGCCGGGCCGCGGCGGGGCCGUGGCGGGUAACGACCUCUGCUAGCGCUGCCGCUCCGGUUAUCACCGCCGGCAUUUAAAUGACAGAGAUUGUUAAGAACAUCCAACUUUUUUAAUGCAGUUAAUGAUCCUCAGCUAUAAAUAGUCUGUUCCAUUGACUGGCAAUAAGGUUUUUGUGCGGAGCCGCGCGGCUUCACUGAGUGUGUUGGGCUUGCUUUUUCCCCUCUGUAUAUACGGUGGGUCCUUUCACCCCGAUUGCUUUACAGGUAUCACCCCACCCUUUGUGAGUUGGGAAAUAAGGUCCCACAGGGCAGGAAUUUGCCUGAGGCCACACGGGGUUUGUGGGUGAACAAGCGGGGACUGGCAGCCCCGUGGUUCCCGGGGCUCGGGAUGGGGCUCCCGGGGUGCCCGCCGCUCGGGGUCACCCCCGGAAUGGUUGGUGAGACAGGCAGCGGUGUGUGCGGUGCCCCAGAAGCUCCCCUGGUACCUCUCAGGGUCAAACACAGCUGUAGGUUCACGGAGCAGAUUUCGGGCCGGGGUUUCAGAGCGCGGCGGCUGGUGCUGCUGGGGCAGGAGCCGCUCUCUCCAGCCGCAGCCGGGAGCUGGUAGCGACCCGGACUUGGUCCGGAGAUGCCUCUGUCCUGGCAGGGCCCUGCUCCGACUCAGUAAACCCCCGAGCACGUGUAGAUCCCCAGAGAAGAGCAGCCUGUGUGAAACCUGGCCAGUGCGUUUGCUGCGCUCGAGAAGCAUCACGAUUGCUUUACCCUGCAGAUUGCUUUACCCUUUACAAAACGUGGCUUGAACUAGCCCGGGAGGCUGAGAGCAGCACUUAAAAGCUCUGAGAGCUGCGAACGCUCUGAGCCGGUCGCUGGAACCCGAGACUCGGGCGGGAGGUCGGGCUGAGCUGUCAUGGGUUUCCAACCCUCGGCACUGGUUGAAUGUCCCAGCAAAAUAACACCAACAGAAAAUCCCCAAACCCUGAACCGACUCCCCAACUUCCACAGCGGCGAUUAAAUGGCCGCGUUUCCCAUUGCCCAGAGCUGCGGUGAGAUUCUGCCACAGCUUUGUUCUCCGUGCCUGCAGACACAAUGGGAAAAGGUCAUCGUGUAAACACCGCUGCUCCAAAGGCAAUUUCUUUGUCUGUUUGGAAAGCCGGGAAGCAAAGGAUAUUCUAAUUGAACUGCUCUGCUGGCGUGACAGCGCUGGGGUGUCUGCCCGGCGCCUUUCUGCUUUCAGGCACAUCUGCAGGUGUAGAUCCCUGUGAUGGAGGAGCCUCCUGCAGGGCUCAACUGCUAUAGGUGCCUUGCGUUUGCUGCUAUAGGUGCCGACCAUUUGCUGCUGUAUGUGCCAAGCUUUUGCUGCUCUAGGUGCCCUGUGUUUGCUGCUAUAGGUGCCGAUCGCAGGUGCGGAUGGAGCUGCGGGGGGUCUGGGCCGGGGGCACCUCGGCUGUGCAAACGCUCCAGGGAACGCUCUGGUGUGUGUAAUUAGUUCACCUUCUCCUUUGCCUGCGACUGCUGUUCCUGGAGCUUUUGUUUUUGAGCAUAAAGAUUUCCCCAACGGUUUGAACAAAGGUUGAGCGCGUGGGGUAAUCCAUAAAACAAUGUCACCAAAAACGCAGGGAAGAGAAGGCGGCUUUUGAUAAAGCGUGCGCACCUGGGAGCUGGGCUGGAGCCGCUGGACAAGGUCACCUCGGGGGGUGGCAGAUGAGCGAGCAGCAGGAGUUGGGGUGCAAACCCGCUGGUCUGUGGGUGCGGGAUGGGCCGCCAGAGCAGGGGCUCCUGCUGCACUCGUGCUGACCGAGUCGCGGUUAUUUGAGGUCCGAUGCUCGGCAAAGCAAGCGCCUCUCUCUGCCUUGUCUAUCCGUGCGUGAUCUCAAAAUGCAGCUGCCGAGGAAGGAAAGCACCCACUGUACCUGAGGAGUGUUAGAAAGCAUCCUGAAAUUAUAGAUGGGAUUAUUAGUGAAGCGCUCUGGGUUUUGUGCCUGCAGCGUGCCUGCCUGAGUCUUGCUUUCCUUUUCCAUUACCAGCAGAUCUGUUUUAUAGAGCUAUUCGGCUCUGUGUGGUCCCUAUUAAAAGUUUUCUUUCCCAGGGUGAUUCUGCUCCUUUGUUGCAUCUGGUUCUUGAACACUUUAUACUAUCAAACAGCAAAACUGCUUUUAUUGAUGCAGCAAAGAACAAUGGGAUCUUUCCAACAGUGCUCCCAGAAUACUCUCCUGGCUUUUUCCUGUGCCUGGCUUCCAACAGUAGACAAAAUGAUUAAGAUAUGUUAGGUUUACUCUGGUCACUUCAAUUGGAGAUUGGCAAUAUCAACAAAUGAUUCUGGUAAAUGGAUUAGCUCCUCUUCUCCGGCAAGGCUGAAGCGAUGUGUGCUUGCCCUGGCCGUGCUCUUUCUGUGAGACAGACAGCUGGAAAAGCAAAAGCAUGGGCAGUUUGACAGAGCGGGGCUGGGGGAGGCGGGGGUGCUGGCGCGGGGUCGCCGGGCUGUGAUCUCCGGCUGGUCGGACGUGCGGUGGCUGCUCGUCCCGCAGCUGCACCCGGAGCCUCACGCUCCGUCCUCCCUGGGGAAAUUUCAUCUGCACGGAGCAGGGAGGACGAGACCUGAAACCAGUUCUGCUCUGUGUGUGCGAACUGAGCUUUCCGGAGUGUCUCAGGACUGGCUUUGGCUUCUCCAUCUGAACAGAUGUCAGGGUAACCAUAUUAAGGCUAAGCCAUAUGAAAAAUUUGUAUGUAUAUUUUGGUGGCUACUUCCAGCCUUUGCCCCCUGGACAUAUCUAAAUCUGGUGACUCCUGACUGUCUGGGACUCCUUGUGUAAAACCGAAGCCGCGUGCCAUGUUUGAGGAGUGCGGCUCUGGAUGGGGCCGGGCUGCCGGUGUCCAUGGGGAUGAUGAGGGGACGCGGCUCUGGAUUGGGCCGGGCUGCCGGUGUCCGUGGGGAUGAUGAGGGAAUGCUGCUCAUUGGGGGAACUGUUCUGAACCCGCCUCAGCUGCAGGGAGGAACGAGGAGCUGGUCCGGCCAUGGAGAGCUGCAGAAAUCCCUGCCAGCCCGGGACAGAUCCGAGCUGUGCUGAACAAAUCCCCAAACCAACAAACCCCAUAAAACACGAGAGCGAAGUUGUCUUCGGGCUGCGCUGGCUUGGCAGAAGAGUGAGGUUUCCAGCCCCCGGGUUUUAAUUCUGUGAGUGCGUGUGCUGUGUGAUAUUUUUAUUUAUUGGUCAAUUCUGUUGGAGGGCCUUGUGGUGUGGCCUUUGUUUUCCUUCAGAUGUAAGGUACUUGUUAGAACCCUUUGCUCGCUGCCUUCCACUUCUAAUCGGCGUUCCCACAGCAGGUUGCGUCUGCCUUACUGGGCAAGAAAAGAGUCUGUAUACAGUGAUUGAAGAUUUCUCCUUUAUAAUAGUGCCUUUAAAAAAAAAGUGUAGUGCCAUUGAAAUCAAAGGCUGGCUUUCUGUGAUAAAGGGCCCUGCAAAUUGACCGCAGGGUCUUUCAGAGAAGUCUGUCUCCUUUUGAUACAGACAUUGCCAAGGGAAAAGAAAAGAGAAAAAUAAGGUUGAAAUAAGGUUGCCGGUGCUCGGAGGAGUAAACAGGUGAGCGUCGUUGUGUGAGUCCUGGGGAGCAGAUGCUGCUCCUGCCGCCUGUUCUGCUGUGGUUAUGGACGUCUCGGCUCUCGACAGCUUGUCAGCCCGCAGCCCCAGAGCUGUCGGUGCUGCAACAUGUCACCCGUCACGGUGACACGUCACCCAGAGCUGCGACACGUCACCCGUCACGGUGACACGUCACCCAGAGCUGCGACACAUCACCCGUCACGGUGACACGUCACCCAGAGCCGCGACACGUCACCCGUCACGGUGACACGUCACCCAGAGCCGCGACACGUCACCCAGCGCAGUGACAGCCGGACAAGCAGCACCCUCAGCACGGUCACCACCAACAGGCCCUCUGGGACAAGUCCCAGCAGUUCAAUCUACAGGCGAUUCUCGAGGUGGCGAGUAAAAGCUGACAUGAAUUUCUGAAUGGCAUUAAUAUAAUUUAUGAGGGCUUUUCCCCUGUAUACCAGUUCUAAAUAUAUAUGUAAGAAGGUGAUUAUCUUAAUGUAAUUCAUCAUUUCCUUGAAGUCUGUGCUCAACCUGAACCUGUUCGCUCUGAUAAGCAUUUAUGUACUGAAGGAAUUGAUGGUAUCUCUCUUUGCCUGUGGUCUUGAACAAAAACGCAGCCUAUGAGCUUAUAUUAAAAAAGGGCAAUUUC
Molecule: long non-coding RNA, 16259 nt
Organism: Columba livia (rock pigeon)
Lineage: Eukaryota; Metazoa; Chordata; Aves; Columbiformes; Columbidae
Exons: 2
Source: RefSeq, a predicted model, not a curated record